RNAcentral lists this ribosomal RNA (1256 nucleotides) under Salmonella enterica subsp. enterica serovar Stanley. RNAcentral's name for it is "partial 23S ribosomal RNA". It matches the Rfam family "Bacterial large subunit ribosomal RNA", at positions 904 to 2141 of the family's 2925-position model. The record is from RNAcentral. Lineage: Bacteria; Pseudomonadati; Pseudomonadota; Gammaproteobacteria; Enterobacterales; Enterobacteriaceae.
AGAGCACUGUUUCGGCUAGGGGGCCAUCCCGGCUUACCAACCCGAUGCAAACUGCGAAUACCGGAGAAUGUUAUCACGGGAGACACACGGCGGGUGCUAACGUCCGUCGUGAAGAGGGAAACAACCCAGACCGCCAGCUAAGGUCCCAAAGUCAUGGUUAAGUGGGAAACGAUGUGGGAAGGCCCAGACAGCCAGGAUGUUGGCUUAGAAGCAGCCAUCAUUUAAAGAAAGCGUAAUAGCUCACUGGUCGAGUCGGCCUGCGCGGAAGAUGUAACGGGGCUAAACCAUGCACCGAAGCUGCGGCAGCGACACUGUGUGUUGUUGGGUAGGGGAGCGUUCUGUAAGCCUGUGAAGGUGUGUCGUGAGGCAUGCUGGAGGUAUCAGAAGUGCGAAUGCUGACAUAAGUAACGAUAAAGCGGGUGAAAAGCCCGCUCGCCGGAAGACCAAGGGUUCCUGUCCAACGUUAAUCGGGGCAGGGUGAGUCGACCCCUAAGGCGAGGCCGAAAGGCGUAGUCGAUGGGAAACGGGUUAAUAUUCCCGUACUUGGUGUUACUGCGAAGGGGGGACGGAGAAGGCUAUGUUGGCCGGGCGACGGUUGUCCCGGUUUAAGCGUGUAGGUGUGUGUUCCAGGUAAAUCCGGUUCACUUUAACACUGAGGCGUGACGACGAGGCACUACGGUGCUGAAGCAACAAAUGCCCUGCUUCCAGGAAAAGCCUCUAAGCAUCAGGUAACAUCAAAUCGUACCCCAAACCGACACAGGUGGUCAGGUAGAGAAUACCAAGGCGCUUGAGAGAACUCGGGUGAAGGAACUAGGCAAAAUGGUGCCGUAACUUCGGGAGAAGGCACGCUGACACGUAGGUGAAGUGAUUUACUCAUGGAGCUGAAGUCAGUCGAAGAUACCAGCUGGCUGCAACUGUUUAUUAAAAACACAGCACUGUGCAAACACGAAAGUGGACGUAUACGGUGUGACGCCUGCCCGGUGCCGGAAGGUUAAUUGAUGGGGUCAGCGCAAGCGAAGCUCCUGAUCGAAGCCCCGGUAAACGGCGGCCGUAACUAUAACGGUCCUAAGGUAGCGAAAUUCCUUGUCGGGUAAGUUCCGACCUGCACGAAUGGCGUAAUGAUGGCCAGGCUGUCUCCACCCGAGACUCAGUGAAAUUGAACUCGCUGUGAAGAUGCAGUGUACCCGCGGCAAGACGGAAAGACCCCGUGAACCUUUACUAUAGCUUGACACUGAACAUUGAGCCUUGAUGUGUAG